AACAAACCUCAGCUUUCAUUCAUUCCUGAGUGACAAUAGUCUCCAAAAGAAAUAGGUGCUGCUGUGUGAGGACGAAGUGAACAACACGACCAUUCGGCUCCUCAGCCAGGUGCACCGGAUGCUGCAGACAGCAGCUGGAGGCUGAAGUAAAGGAGCUGGAUAAAGAUUUUAUCACCCUUCAAGAUGACAGCAACUAUGCUCAGUGAGGCCGGACGAGCUGAAGGAGUUGGCCAGAGAGGAACACCAGUCGAUCAGGAAGAGAGACGGCAGCUGGUGUGAUCGAGCAGACACUCUGAAUUUCUUCCGUUUUACACACACGCCCACACACACACGCCCAGUUUGAACAACGGAGCGUCUGCAAAUUUGUCUGAGUAAUGGGGCUUUCACACCGAAAGCAAGAGCUGAACGCCUCCCAACGCAUCAGUGACGUCAAACGCAUCACUUCGGAAGCAGCAAGGGGGGCGGAGAUUGCUACGUCACACUCUGUUUCUGCUGUUUCCACAAACCGAAAAAAGCUGAGUGACUGCCAUCUUGGAUUUGCACCUGUAGAACCAUGAAAAUGCUUUUAAAAACAGCAGAACGAUUCUCCUCCCAUCACCCUGCUGGGAGAAGAUUUUAUCAUCUACUUUCCGGAGUGACGCGGAGCCGAGGGAGGACUGGCGACUUGGUGGGUUAUUGUGACGGCCCCUGCGGCCGUCUUAAUGUGUUUAUAAUUGUUUUACUGUCUGUCAUGUGUUUUGAGGUCCUGGCCACCAGGAGGCGCUGGUGUGGUCCCCUGCCUGGGAGGACAAAAGGGGUUUCUGCCUCUUUCACUCUCUGCUGUUGCCUUUGGUGCUGCUGCUCCUCCUCCCUCCUCUGGAUUGCGGCUGGGAGAGCGGUCGCGGGCGUCUGGUCCUGGCUGGGCUUUUUUUCAUCACGCCAUGCUUUUGUUUUUCCUUUUCCUUUUUCUUGUUUUAAUAAUAAAUAUUGGUUAUUGGUUUUAAAAACCCUGGUGCUCUCGCAUGUACCUCAGUAGUUUUGUUGCCGGCUUGUGAGCCGAGCAAUAACAAAUGGGGGCUCGUCCAAACAGGUUUUUGGCGUUUUUGCUUUCCCUGGACUCGUGUGGUGAUGCACGGUAAAGUUUGGGGUGAGCGGCGGCGUCUUAUUGUUACAACUGGUGCUUGUUUGGCGGUGAUCUGCUGUGGAGUGGAACAGGUGCAUCGGUGUGCACGUGUGACUCGCAGCAGGUGGCGGUGAGGACACACGGGAGCGUGUUUGGUUUUUUCCUCAAUCUUUGGAUGGCGUGGUGCGUUUUGUUGAACACAACGAAGAGAAUAGGGGUAAGUGGAGUGUGUGACUUGUGCACGAGUAUUGAGCUCUGUUUUGUAGCUGUGUCUCCUGGUGAGGUAAGAGGCUUUGCUGCUUCACGCAUGGCCCGUUUGGUUUUUUUCGAUAGUGUCGUGGGGGUGCGGUUGGAGUUUUCACUGUGGGUCACAGUGUUCUCGGGAGCAGUCCAGGAGAAAAGAAAUAUUUUCUCGCUGGUUGUGUGCUUAAUCAACACGCCGCCAAACCACGUGAAGAGUUAGGUAAGUUAAUUUGGUGCAGCUUGUUAAGCAGGUGUAGAAUAAAGGGGACACGGUUGCAUUGAGCGUCGUGCUGUGCACGUGCGAGCGCUUCAAUUUGUAGUCUAUUAACUCAGUUUGUGUGUGAUUACGUGGUGUGGUGUGUGCGUGUAUUUUUGGCCAGUCAUGGAUGUGGAGGUGGAGGGUUUUGUGGCUAGUCCCACAAGGGAAAAGCUUGAGGUUUUCGUCAAAGAUAAUCUGCUGGCAAUUGCGGCUCAUUUUGACAUUCCAGUUACAAGCCAGGAUAAGAAGGAAGCUAUUAAACAACAAAUUGAUGACACGUUGGUCGCAAAGGGCAUGUUUUUUCCUGCUGCGUCAGAGGUGAUCCAGGUGGCAGAUGACACAGCUGACACGCAUUUGUGCAAAUAAGAGCUGCAGCUGGAAAGUCAGUUUAAGCUCAGAGAACAGGAAAUUCAGUUGAAACUUAGGGAGCAGGAAAUGCAGGCUAAUCUCAGGGAGAAAGAAAUUCAGGUAGAACAACGUAAACUGGAUUUGGAAGAAGAGCGGAGACGCGAGGCGGCGCGUGUGUCUGGUGUACGGACUGUGUUAAUCCUGGAGAAGCAGACUUUGACGUUAACAAGUGCAUUCAAUUUAUCCCACCGUUCAUUGAAAAGGAUGUGGAUAAAUAUUUUGUUAUGUUUUGUUUGAGCGUGUGGCGUCGAUGUUAAAGUGGCCGAGGGAGGUUUGGCCGUUGUGCUUUCAGGUAAAGCUCAGGAGGCGUAUGCUUCGUUAUCACUGGAAGAUAGUUUGGUUAUGACAAAGUGAAAAGCGCUGUGGAGAGAGCAUAUGAGCUUGUGCCAGAGGCAUAUAGACAGAAAUUUCAGUGUUACAAAAAACUUGAUCAUCAAAAUUAUGUGGAGUUUGGACGUGACAAAACUGCGUUGUUUGUUGGUGCGCUUCACAAAAUGUUAAAAAUUUUGAUCAGCUGCGAGAGCUAAUUUUGAUGGCAUUCAAGAACUGUGUACCAGAAAGGAUUGCAACUUAUAUCAGUGAACAAAAGACUGUGAAUGUCUCAGAUGCUGCUAUUUUGGCGGACAAGUACGUAUUGACUCAUAUGUCUUUUUCACAAAAUGUGACUCCAAACCUGAGUCUUGGUUCCAGUGUGCCAAGAGAGGGGCAUUCAGAGGGCUCUGGGCGGUCCAGCUGGGUGAAACAGGGGGAUGUCAGGAACUCUGUUUUGCGUGAUAGUGAUCGGGUGUGUCACUAUUGUUAUAAGCGUGGGCACAUAAAAGCAGAUUGUGUUCUGCUAAAGUCAAGAACGUCUCUUAAGCCCAAACGAUUAGGUUUAGCUGCGCCAGUGCGUAAUGUUGUGGAAUUUAAGGUGGAAAACAUGAGCUCUGAACCGUGUGACUCGUACUUGCCUUUCAUCCAUGAGGGAUUUGUCUUAUUGGUGGGAGAUGAUAAAAAGGUGCGUGUCAAAAUUUUGUGUGGCACAGGGGUGUUUGACUCAUUUAUCCAAGCUGAUGUGUUGCCGCUGUCUGAGGAGUCAGAGACAGGCACGCGGGUUCCAGUUUGAGGUAUGGGUCUUAACGUGCUCUUUGUGCCGUUGCAUAAAGUGUCACUUGACUGAACUUCAGUGGAGAUGCAGUUUUGACUGUUCAUCCUGCAUUGCCAGUGGAAGGUGUUUCUGUUAUAUUGGGCAAUGGUUUGGCUGGUGUGCGUUUGUGGAAGGACGCUGCUGGGUCAGCUGUACAGAAGGAGGCAGAGGCAGUUCCUUGUUUGCUUCCUCAGACUGAUGAGUGCAGUAAACAGUUCCCCCAGGUGUUCACUGCGUGUGCGGUUAUUCGGGCUAUGGCACGGAAUGAAGUUAAGAAGGGGAAAUGUGGAAAAAAAAUGUUCAUGUACCUCUGUCUGAUUUUCCUGUGUCUUUGUCUCGCAGUGAACUGGUGGCGGAGCGACACGCUGACGUGUCUUUAAAAGGCCUUUUUGAUCAGGUGCGUCCAGUGAGUGACAUCGUGGAUUGCGCGUGUGGGUACUUUUUUCAGGAUUCGCUGUUGGUGAGAAAAUGGUUGCCCCAUGUGGGUAUUGUCAGUGAUCCUGUGUUUCAAAUCGUGAUGCCCAGUAAAUUUCGCCCUGCUGUGUUAAAAGUCGCACAUGAUGAGUCUGGACUUUCCGGGGUGACUAAAACAUAUGACCGGAUCCCGAGACAUUUUUUGUCCGCGUCUAAAAAAAUGACGUUUCUGCAUACAGUAAGGAAAAUAAGUAUUUGAACACCCUGCGGUUUUGCAAG
This is a long non-coding RNA of Thalassophryne amazonica, 3831 nucleotides long. RefSeq lists it as uncharacterized. Lineage: Eukaryota; Metazoa; Chordata; Actinopteri; Batrachoidiformes; Batrachoididae. The record is from RefSeq and is a predicted model, not a curated record. The transcript has 3 exons.